Molecule: long non-coding RNA, 567 nt
Organism: Stegodyphus dumicola
Lineage: Eukaryota; Metazoa; Arthropoda; Arachnida; Araneae; Eresidae
Gene: fidipidine
Source: RefSeq, a predicted model, not a curated record
UAUAACUAUCUGUCUUUUAUUUUGAUUUUUCUGCCAAUUCAUUUGUUUUACACGUGUGCAUAAUGUUGUAGAGUAAACUGACUGCAAGUCAAGUUGGAUCCAUAGUUGGACUUCAGUCUGGUGAAAUUCAACAAAUAGCUACUGAAUUUGCUGGCAAGCAAGCAGAACUUGCAUCUGAAGAACUUGGAGAAAGAGGGUUAAGUGGCAUACAAUACCAUAAACGAACUGUUGUUGCAUUAUCAAAACAAAUUAAAGAAAAGGAAGAAAAAUUAGCUGAGGUACAAGCUCUCAAUGAAAGUCUUAAAAGCUCAUAUCAAGAAUCACAAUCAAGGUUAAAGGAACUGCAAAGCAUGCAUAGUGAUAUGAUGAAAGAAAUGAAGAUUUUGGAAGAAGCUGAAAAUGAUGACAACAAAAGUCUUUUAGAAACUCUUCGGUCACUCGUUGCCACAAAUGAAACACUUAAAAAACAAGAACAAGAAUUUCGAAAUCAUUGCAAAGAAGAACUUGCUAGAUUAAAAUCCCAAAUUGAGGAAUUGAAGGCAUCGUCUGAAGAAGGAUCUUCAGAAG